This 292-nucleotide ribosomal RNA is filed under the name uncultured bacterium. RNAcentral describes it as "partial 16S ribosomal RNA". It matches the Rfam family "Bacterial small subunit ribosomal RNA", at positions 505 to 796 of the family's 1533-position model. The record is from RNAcentral.
GUGUCAGCAGCCGCGGUAAGACGAACCGUGCGAACGUUGUUCGGAAUCACUGGGCUUAAAGGGCGCGUAGGCGGGCCGCCAAGUCAGGGGUGAAAUCGUUCGGCUUAACCGGACAAGUGCCUCUGAUACUGGCGGCCUCGAGGGGGGUAGGGGCCUGCGGAACUUCCGGUGGAGCGGUGAAAUGCGUAGAUAUCGGAAGGAACGCCGGUGGCGAAAGCGGCGGGCUGGACCCCUUCUGACGCUGAGGCGCGAAAGCCAGGGGAGCGAACGGGAUUAGAAACCCCCGUAGUCC